UACGAAGGGGGCUAGCGUUGUUCGGAAUCACUGGGCGUAAAGCGCACGUAGGCGGAUGUGCCAGUCAGGGGUGAAAUCCCGGAGCUCAACUCCGGAACUGCCUCUGAUACAGCACGUCUUGAGUUCGAGAGAGGUGGGUGGAAUUCCUAGUGUAGAGGUGAAAUUCGUAGAUAUCAGGAGGAACACCGGUGGCGAAGGCGGGUCUCUGGGCCGAUACUGACGCUGAGGAGCGAAAGCGUGGGGAGCGAACAGG
RNAcentral lists this ribosomal RNA (253 nucleotides) under uncultured bacterium. RNAcentral's name for it is "partial 16S ribosomal RNA". It matches the Rfam family "Bacterial small subunit ribosomal RNA", at positions 524 to 776 of the family's 1533-position model. The record is from RNAcentral.